This 253-nucleotide ribosomal RNA is filed under the name uncultured bacterium. RNAcentral describes it as "partial 16S ribosomal RNA". It matches the Rfam family "Bacterial small subunit ribosomal RNA", at positions 524 to 776 of the family's 1533-position model. The record is from RNAcentral.
UACGAAGGGGGCUAGCGUUGCUCGGAAUGACUGGGCGUAAAGGGCGCGUAGGCGGUUCGGACAGUCAGAUGUGAAAUUCCUGGGCUCAACCUGGGGACUGCAUUUGAUACGUUCGGACUUGAGUGGGGAAGAGGGUCGUGGAAUUUCCAGUGUAGAGGUGAAAUUCGUAGAUAUUGGAAAGAACACCGGUGGCGAAGGCGGCGACCUGGUCCUUGACUGACGCUGAGGCGCGAAAGCGUGGGGAGCAAACAGG